GGAGUGUAGCUCAAUUGGUAGAGCACCGGUCUCCAAAACCGGGGGCUGGGGGUUCAAGUCCCUCCACUCCUGCCA
Molecule: transfer RNA, 75 nt
Filed under: Alphaproteobacteria bacterium MarineAlpha9_Bin4
Lineage: Bacteria; Pseudomonadati; Pseudomonadota; Alphaproteobacteria
Description: tRNA-Trp
Rfam family: tRNA
About the family: Transfer RNA (tRNA) molecules are approximately 80 nucleotides in length. Their secondary structure includes four short double-helical elements and three loops (D, anti-codon, and T loops). Further hydrogen bonds mediate the characteristic L-shaped molecular structure. tRNAs have two regions of fundamental functional importance: the anti-codon, which is responsible for specific mRNA codon recognition, and the 3' end, to which the tRNAs corresponding amino acid is attached (by aminoacyl-tRNA synthetases). tRNAs cope with the degeneracy of the genetic code in two manners: having more than one tRNA (with a specific anti-codon) for a particular amino acid; and 'wobble' base-pairing, i.e. permitting non-standard base-pairing at the 3rd anti-codon position.
Source: RNAcentral